GACGAACGUUGGCGGCGUGCUUAAUACAUGCAAGUCAACUGAAGCAGUGGUAGCAAUAUCGCUGUGGAGGUGGCGCACGGGUGAGUAACACGUAGGUAAUCUGCCUUCAGGUCUGGCAUAACUCCGGGAAACCGGGGCUAAUAGCAGAUGAUGCAGCGGCUCGACAUCGAGACAGUUGUUAAAGCUAUGGCGCCUGAAGAUGAGCCUGCGUCUGAUUAGCUAGUUGGCGGGGUAACGGCCCACCAAGGCAACGAUCAGUAGCUGGUCUGAGAGGAUGAUCAGCCACACUGGAACGGAGACACGGCCCAGACUCCUACGGGAGGCAGCAGUAAGGAAUAUUGCUCAAUGGGAGAAAUCCUGAAGCAGCAACGCCGCGUGAGGGACGAAGGGCUUUUGCUUGUAAACCUCUGUAGGGAGAGAAAAAAAUCCCAAUCUUUGGGACAUGAUGGUAUCUAAAAAGUAAGCCCCGGCUAACUACGUG
This 481-nucleotide ribosomal RNA is filed under the name uncultured bacterium. RNAcentral describes it as "partial 16S ribosomal RNA". It matches the Rfam family "Bacterial small subunit ribosomal RNA", at positions 28 to 507 of the family's 1533-position model. The record is from RNAcentral.